ACCAGCACGCCGCACGCCGCACGCGUACACUCAAGUUGCCUCGAUCCUAAGCAAGACGACCGGUGAGCCAGCCAGCCAAGUAGCGGCCAAGUCCACACCGAGACAUCCCCUCCCCGUCGCGUGGACUCGCGAGCCCCAAUUCCCCCCCACCUCGCCGACGUCGCCGUCGCCGCCGUCUUCCUCCGCUUGAUUCCUCCCCUCCCCUCCUCACCCCCCACAGUCCACGGCGCGUCGAAUGCGUGGCCCUCGCCGCCCGUAGCCUACC
This 265-nucleotide long non-coding RNA is filed under the name Oryza brachyantha (malo sina). Its description in RNAcentral is "long non-coding RNA (OBRA_LNC000287)". Lineage: Eukaryota; Viridiplantae; Streptophyta; Magnoliopsida; Poales; Poaceae. The record is from RNAcentral.